Molecule: transfer RNA, 64 nt
Filed under: Fabaeformiscandona kushiroensis
Lineage: Eukaryota; Metazoa; Arthropoda; Ostracoda; Podocopida; Candonidae
Description: tRNA-Leu
Rfam family: tRNA
About the family: Transfer RNA (tRNA) molecules are approximately 80 nucleotides in length. Their secondary structure includes four short double-helical elements and three loops (D, anti-codon, and T loops). Further hydrogen bonds mediate the characteristic L-shaped molecular structure. tRNAs have two regions of fundamental functional importance: the anti-codon, which is responsible for specific mRNA codon recognition, and the 3' end, to which the tRNAs corresponding amino acid is attached (by aminoacyl-tRNA synthetases). tRNAs cope with the degeneracy of the genetic code in two manners: having more than one tRNA (with a specific anti-codon) for a particular amino acid; and 'wobble' base-pairing, i.e. permitting non-standard base-pairing at the 3rd anti-codon position.
Source: RNAcentral
AUUAAAUUGGCAGAUGAAUGCGAUAGAUUUAGAAUCUAUUAAUGUAGGUUAAUUACAUUUAAUA